Molecule: ribosomal RNA, 702 nt
Filed under: Triticum aestivum (bread wheat)
Lineage: Eukaryota; Viridiplantae; Streptophyta; Magnoliopsida; Poales; Poaceae
Description: partial small subunit ribosomal RNA
Source: RNAcentral
AUGGAACGGGAGGUGGGCAAAAGCAAGAGCAAGACAUCCGCCCAGUUGCCUCUUGAUCAAGGAACCGGUGGUGGAUGGAUGUGGAGCUGCCCUACGUCAGGUGGCACAGCUGUGCGUGCUUCCCCACUAAUUCUAAUUCUAGGUUGUUGUCUGCUUAGUAUAUUCAGUCGCGUGGCGAGGGGACGAGCAUUGUUGUCUGUAUAUUCAGUCGCGUGGCGAGGGGACGAGCAUCAAGUGGCAGAGUUGUGUUGUGCCGGCUGUUAUCCAUCCGAGAGCAAAGCAAAAGCGAAGGUGAAGAUUCCGGCGUCGGCUGCAGGGUGCCCGUGCGUGCUGGUUGGAGAUUGCUCCGGUUCAUCACCGCCAAGGCUAGGUGUUUGUGGAAUUCCCCGCCUCCUUUGCAAGGAAAGGCUGCUAGGAAGAGGGAGAGCGAGGAAAGGAUGGGCAUGCCGCGGGGGCUGUCGGCGUACAUGGUGGACAUGGUGUGGGCGGUGCUCGCCGGGUGGGUGUCGGCGUGCCUGCUGGUCGCCAACGAGAUCGCCCGCGGCAUGCGGGCCGGGGAGAUCGGCCCCUUCGUCGUGGGCUGAAUCUCACUCCUGGGGAAAUCCUCCCUCCCUUCUGACUCCUUCCUUCAGGCUGGUGCUCUGCUCUCAACCUUCUGCUCUUAGUUUCUUUGCUAGUAAUAACUCGGUGCUUCCUCUCUAA